This 294-nucleotide long non-coding RNA is filed under the name Rattus norvegicus (Norway rat). Its description in RNAcentral is "long non-coding RNA NONRATT018410". The record is from RNAcentral. Lineage: Eukaryota; Metazoa; Chordata; Mammalia; Rodentia; Muridae.
UGGCCAAUGGAGUUUGGUAGAGGUGCAGACAGCAGUCGGAGCCCGAAAGCUGGCGCAGGCAAGAAGAACCUCUAGCACAGAUCUAGCUGACUGCGAGGUUGCAGAUUUGGUGGACCAGCACAAUGAGAGCUCGGAGGGGAUUCAUCUUACUCCUGCUUCUGGCUGUCCUCUGUUCCACAGGUGUUAGCCUCAGAUGCUACAACUGUUUAGACCCGGUUUCUUCAUGCAAAACAAACAGCACUUGCUCUCCUAACCUGGAUGCUUGUCUUGUUGCUGUAUCCGGUAAGAGCCUCU